RNAcentral lists this ribosomal RNA (467 nucleotides) under Icosta sp. 1 ES-2018. RNAcentral's name for it is "partial 16S ribosomal RNA". The record is from RNAcentral. Lineage: Eukaryota; Metazoa; Arthropoda; Insecta; Diptera; Hippoboscidae.
AUAUAUAUAUAAAGUUUAACCUGCCCUAUGAAUUUUAAAUGGCCGCAGUAUUUUGACUGUGCAAAGGUAGCAUAAUAAUUAGUCUUUUAAUUGAAGGCUGGAAUGAAUGGUUGGACGAAAUAUUAACUGUUUCAUAUGAAUUUAUAAUAGAAUUUUAUUUUUUAGUAAAAAAGCUAAAAUAAGAUUAAAAGACGAGAAGACCCUAUAAAUCUUUAUAUUUAAUAAUUAUUUAUUUAUUAGAUUUUAAUUAAUAAAUAUUUAUAUAAUAUUUUAUUGGGGUGAUAUUAAAAUUUAAUAAACUUUUAAUUAAAUAAACAAUAAUUAUUGAUUAUUUGAUCCUAUAAUAUAGAUUAAUAGAAUAAGUUACUUUAGGGAUAACAGCGUAAUUUUUUUGGAGAGUUCAUAUUGAUAAAAAAGAUUGCGACCUCGAUGUUGGAUUAAGAAAAAUUUAGGUGCAGAAGUUAAAA